AAGAAGAACCUUUAGAACCGCCCAUUGGUGCAAACCUGUUCAUUUCCUCGAUGGUGGGGUUCAAACUGGAUCAUUGCUACCACAACUUUGACUAAUUUUUGAAUCAAUUUGCUCAAAAAUGUAUGGUAUUCCUGGUUCAAAAGAUAGUGCUUGAGGAUAUUAAACUCACAUGUUCAUCGAAAGCAUUCUUAUUCUGAGACUUUGGGAGAUUUACUGGCAGUAAUAAUGACAACGGCAAUUGUUACGGAUGCGAUCAAUUUCAACUUCAUUUCACAAUGCAGCGCACAUAGCGAGCUCAAAACUCAACAAUGUGAGAGAGAACAAGAGAAAUUACAGUCCACGGGUUAAGUGUUACAUGACAGGGUUGAUGACUUUGCUAGAGCUUGUCGAGGGCAGCGCGAGAUGUAGUCGAGGAGGCAGAUGCGCAAGAACUGUACAAAUCGCAUGUGCUACUCUUGCCUACAUGAACAAUGGCUGUGGGGAAUUUAUCUUCUAG
RNAcentral lists this long non-coding RNA (496 nucleotides) under Physcomitrium patens. RNAcentral's name for it is "long non-coding RNA (PPAT_LNC005269)". Lineage: Eukaryota; Viridiplantae; Streptophyta; Bryopsida; Funariales; Funariaceae. The record is from RNAcentral.